AACGAACGCUGGCGGCAUGCCUAACACAUGCCAGUCGAACGAAGGCUUCGGCCUUAGUGGCGCACGGGUGCGUAACGCGUGGGAAUCUGCCCUUUGCUUCGGAAUAACAGUUAGAAAUGACUGCUAAUACCGGAUGAUGUCGCAAGACCAAAGAUUUAUCGGCAAAGGAUGAGCCCGCGUAGGAUUAGCUAGUUGGUGGGGUAAAGGCCUACCAAGGCGACGAUCCUUAGCUGGUCUGAGAGGAUGAUCAGCCACACUGGGACUGAGACACGGCCCAGACUCCUACGGGAGGCAGCAGUGGGGAAUAUUGGACAAUGGGCGAAAGCCUGAUCCAGCAAUGCCGCGUGAGUGAUGAAGGCCUUAGGGUUGUAAAGCUCUUUUACCCGGGAUGAUAAUGACAGUACCGGGAGAAUAAGCUCCGGCUAACUCCGUG
This 433-nucleotide ribosomal RNA is filed under the name uncultured bacterium. RNAcentral describes it as "partial 16S ribosomal RNA". It matches the Rfam family "Bacterial small subunit ribosomal RNA", at positions 29 to 507 of the family's 1533-position model. The record is from RNAcentral.